UAGGGAAUCUUCGGCAAUGGACGAAAGUCUGACCGAGCAACGCCGCGUGAGUGAAGAAGGUCUUCGGAUUGUAAAACUCUGUUGUUAGAGAAGAACAAGGACGUUAGUAACUGAACGUCCCCUGACGGUAUCUAACCAGAAAGCCACGGCUAACUACGUGCCAGCAGCCGCGGUAAUACGUAGGUGGCAAGCGUUGUCCGGAUUUAUUGGGCGUAAAGCGAGCGCAGGCGGUUUCUUAAGUCUGAUGUGAAAGCUCCCGGCUCAACCGGGGAGGGGCAUUGGAAACUGGGAGACUUGAGUGCAGAAGAGGAGAGUGGAAUUCCAUGUGUAGCGGUGAAAUGCGUAGAUAUAUGGAGGAACACCAGUGGCGAAGGCGGCUCUCUGGUCUGUAACUGACGCUGAGGCUCGAAAGCGUGGGGAGCAAACAGG
This 429-nucleotide ribosomal RNA is filed under the name Gemmatimonadota bacterium. RNAcentral describes it as "Gemmatimonadetes bacterium partial 16S ribosomal RNA". It matches the Rfam family "Bacterial small subunit ribosomal RNA", at positions 355 to 776 of the family's 1533-position model. The record is from RNAcentral. Lineage: Bacteria; Pseudomonadati; Gemmatimonadota.